ACGAUAUUCCGCUGAUAGGUUAUAGACUAUAUAUGAAUAUUUG
Molecule: regulatory RNA element, 43 nt
Organism: Jeotgalibaca dankookensis
Lineage: Bacteria; Bacillati; Bacillota; Bacilli; Lactobacillales; Carnobacteriaceae
Rfam family: Ribosomal protein L19 leader
About the family: This family is a putative r-protein leader autoregulatory structure found in B. subtilis and other low-GC Gram-positive bacteria.
Source: Rfam